RNAcentral lists this ribosomal RNA (498 nucleotides) under uncultured bacterium. Its description in RNAcentral is "partial 16S ribosomal RNA". It matches the Rfam family "Bacterial small subunit ribosomal RNA", at positions 30 to 523 of the family's 1533-position model. The record is from RNAcentral.
AUUGAACGCUGGCGGCAUGCCUUACACAUGCAAGUCGAACGGUAACAGGUCUUCGGAUGCUGACGAGUGGCGAACGGGUGAGUAAUACAUCGGAACGUGCCUAGUAGUGGGGGAUAACUACUCGAAAGAGUGGCUAAUACCGCAUGAGAUCUACGGAUGAAAGCAGGGGAUCGCAAGACCUUGUGCUACUAGAGCGGCCGAUGGCAGAUUAGGUAGUUGGUGGGAUAAAAGCUUACCAAGCCGACGAUCUGUAGCUGGUCUGAGAGGACGAUCAGCCACACUGGGACUGAGACACGGCCCAGACUCCUACGGGAGGCAGCAGUGGGGAAUUUUGGACAAUGGGCGAAAGCCUGAUCCAGCAAUGCCGCGUGCAGGAUGAAGGCCUUCGGGUUGUAAACUGCUUUUGUACGGAACGAAAAGCCCCGGGUUAAUACCCGGGUGGGAUGACGGUACCCAAAGAAUAAGCACCGGCUAACUUCGUGCCAGCCGCCGCCGUAA